Molecule: long non-coding RNA, 310 nt
Filed under: Carica papaya (papaya)
Lineage: Eukaryota; Viridiplantae; Streptophyta; Magnoliopsida; Brassicales; Caricaceae
Description: long non-coding RNA (CPAP_LNC008040)
Source: RNAcentral
UCUAGAUCUUUAAAUGGGUAAUCGCCAUAAAUAACAUCAGAGAGGUCACCAACAUUUUUCUGGUGCAUAUAAAUACGGUGCUACCAUAUGAUAAAACAACCAUGAAAGAGAGAGAGAGUUAAUUUACAGUUGAAGGAUGUGAGAGAGAGAGAGAGAGAGAAAGAGGGAGAGAAAGAGGUUUUUGACCUUUUAGGUUAGAAGCGGUCAGAGAGGAGGGCAGCCUUUCUGAUACAACCCAUAUGGAAAAGCCCUUGGUUUCUCAGAUUAUUUUCGAGAAUGCCACUACUCGUGUUUGGCUUUAAUUGGUCCU